RNAcentral lists this ribosomal RNA (450 nucleotides) under uncultured bacterium. RNAcentral describes it as "partial 16S ribosomal RNA". It matches the Rfam family "Bacterial small subunit ribosomal RNA", at positions 354 to 796 of the family's 1533-position model. The record is from RNAcentral.
GUGGGGAAUUUUGGACAAUGGGCGCAAGCCUGAUCCAGCAAUGCCGCGUGCAGGAAGAAGGCCUUCGGGUUGUAAACUGCUUUUGUACGGAACGAAACGGUCCGGGUUAAUACCCUGGGCUAAUGACGGUACCGUAAGAAUAAGCACCGGCUAACUACGUGCCAGCAGCCGCGGUAAUACGUAGGGUGCAAGCGUUAAUCGGAAUUACUGGGCGUAAAGCGUGCGCAGGCGGUUUUGUAAGACAGGCGUGAAAUCCCCGGGCUCAACCUGGGAAUUGCGCUUGUGACUGCAAGGCUGGAGUGCGGCAGAGGGGGAUGGAAUUCCGCGUGUAGCAGUGAAAUGCGUAGAUAUGCGGAGGAACACCGAUGGCGAAGGCAAUCCCCUGGGCCUGCACUGACGCUCAUGCAUGAAAGCGUGGGGAGCAAACAGGAUUAGAAACCCUAGUAGUCC